GGGGAUUUAGCUCAGCGUCAUAAGCGCCUGCCUUUGAAGCAGGCAGUCCUGGGUUCAAUCCCCG
This is a non-coding RNA of Cavia porcellus (domestic guinea pig), 64 nucleotides long. NCBI's taxonomy places the organism in Eukaryota, Metazoa, Chordata, Mammalia, Rodentia, Caviidae. The record is from Rfam.